GUCGGGAGUUAGGAAAUGCAAGGAUGUUAAUAGCGUUCUUGCUUGACUAAGGCUCCGGAGGAAGCCACGGCUAACUCUGUGCCAGCAGCCGCGGUAAUACAGAGGCGGCAAGCGUUGUUCGGAAUUAUUGGGCGUAAAGAGCACGUAGGCGGCUGUGUAAGUCGGUUGUGAAAGCCUUCCGCUCAACGGAAGAACGGCAUCCGAUACUGCAUGGCUUGAGUGUGGGAGGGGAGAGUGGAACUUCUGGU
This 248-nucleotide ribosomal RNA is filed under the name uncultured anaerobic ammonium-oxidizing bacterium. RNAcentral describes it as "partial 16S ribosomal RNA". It matches the Rfam family "Bacterial small subunit ribosomal RNA", at positions 434 to 674 of the family's 1533-position model. The record is from RNAcentral.